Molecule: ribosomal RNA, 121 nt
Filed under: Sugiyamaella lignohabitans
Lineage: Eukaryota; Fungi; Ascomycota; Dipodascomycetes; Dipodascales; Trichomonascaceae
Source: RNAcentral
AGCUAUGGCCAUAUCUCGCGUAAAGCAAGAUUUCCCGUCCGAUCAAUCAUAUUUAAGCCGCGAAGAGCCUUUUACAGUAAUACCGUGGGAGACCAGGUGUGAACAGGAGGUGUCAUAGCUC